UCAUCGUUGGAGACAUCAGUCCUUUCAGAGCCCCUCACAGCACAAUGAUGACCACUCUGAUCCUCCUGCUGACCGCACUGGGCUUCUUUCCUCAAGCAUCCCACCAAGAGGUCCAGACUCCUGAGAGAAGUUCUGUAGAACCAGGACAGUCCGUCACCUUCAGCUGUGUUGCAGAUCGUGGGAUCGGUUAUGCCAUGAGUUGGUACCAGUUGAAACCUGGAGCAGCUCCUAAAACGCUGAUUUAUGGAUCAAGUUAUAGAAAUUCUGGAGUUCCACAGCGAUUCAGUGGAACAAACUCUGGAUACACCUUUACGAUGACCAUCAGUGGAGUCCAGCCUGAAGAUGCAGGAGAGUAUUACUGUAUGGGUGGUUACAGUGGUCCAGAAUUCACACAGUGAAAAAGAGUCGUACAAAAACCUCCAUCGGUCAGAGAUGAGACUCUACACUGCUGCAGCUGCAGCUACUGAACCACAGUGUUAUUGUUAUUUUUGAAUUGCAGCUUUUGUUUUUAAUUUCCUUCAUUAUUUUUCUUCAGAUAAAAGAAACCUCUGUGUCUAAUUUAAACUUUUUUAUAAUCAAUAACCACUCACUGUGUUUAAAAUCAUACUUUUCCUUCAAAGUGUGUUUAAUUUGGCAGACACUGUGAUCCUGAAUAACUUAGUGUUGUAGUGUUAUCCACUACACUACACCAG
Pygocentrus nattereri (red-bellied piranha) is the source of this 692-nucleotide non-coding RNA. The record is from the annotation of a RefSeq genome assembly. NCBI's taxonomy places the organism in Eukaryota, Metazoa, Chordata, Actinopteri, Characiformes, Serrasalmidae.